UGGAGGAAAGCAGGGGAUCGUAAGACCUUGCGCUUUUGGAGCGGCCGAUGUCUGAUUAGCUAGUUGGUGGGGUAAUGGCCUACCAAAGCUUCGAUCAGUAGCUGGUCUGAGAGGACGGCCAGCCACACUGGGACUGAGACACGGCCCAGACUCCUACGGGAGGCAGCAGCGGGGAAUUUUGGACAAUGGGCGCAAGCCCGAUCCAGCCAUGCCGCGUGAGUGAAGAAGGCCUUCGGGUUGUAAAGCUCUUUCAGCCGGGAAGAAAAGGCUGCGAUUAAUAAUCGCAGUUCAUGACGGUACCGGAAGAAGAAGCACCGGCUAACUACGUGCCAGCAGCCGCGGUAAUACGUAGGGUGCGAGCGUUAAUCGGAAUUACUGGGCGUAAAGGGUGCGCAGGCGGUUUUGUAAGUCAGAUGUGA
RNAcentral lists this ribosomal RNA (419 nucleotides) under uncultured ammonia-oxidizing beta proteobacterium. Its description in RNAcentral is "bacterial SSU rRNA". It matches the Rfam family "Bacterial small subunit ribosomal RNA", at positions 197 to 597 of the family's 1533-position model. The record is from RNAcentral. Lineage: Bacteria; Pseudomonadati; Pseudomonadota; Betaproteobacteria.